Molecule: ribosomal RNA, 1075 nt
Filed under: Byssosphaeria guangdongensis
Lineage: Eukaryota; Fungi; Ascomycota; Dothideomycetes; Pleosporales; Melanommataceae
Description: SSU rRNA
Rfam family: Eukaryotic small subunit ribosomal RNA
Source: RNAcentral
GGUCGAUGUCUAGUAUAAGCAAUUAUACCGUGAAACUGCGAAUGGCUCAUUAAAUCAGUUAUCGUUUAUUUGAUAGUACCUUACCACUUGGAUAACCGUGGUAAUUCUAGAGCUAAUACAUGCUAAAAACCUCGACUUCGGAAGGGGUGUGUUUAUUAGAUAAAAAACCAAUGCCCUUCGGGGCUCUUUGGUGAUUCAUGAUAACCUAACGGAUCGCAUGGCCUUGCGCUGGCGACGGUUCAUUCAAAUUUCUGCCCUAUCAACUUUCGAUGGUAAGGUAUUGGCUUACCAUGGUUUCAACGGGUAACGGGGAAUUAGGGUUCGAUUCCGGAGAGGGAGCCUGAGAAACGGCUACCACAUCCAAGGAAGGCAGCAGGCGCGCAAAUUACCCAAUCCCGACACGGGGAGGUAGUGACAAUAAAUACUGAUACAGGGCUCUUUUGGGUCUUGUAAUUGGAAUGAGUACAAUUUAAACCCCUUAACGAGGAACAAUUGGAGGGCAAGUCUGGUGCCAGCAGCCGCGGUAAUUCCAGCUCCAAUAGCGUAUAUUAAAGUUGUUGCAGUUAAAAAGCUCGUAGUUGAAACUUGGGUCUGGCUAGCGGGUCCGCCUCACCGCGUGCACUUGUCCGGCUGGACCUUUCCUUCUGGAGAACCUCAUGCCCUUCACUGGGUGUGUUGGGGAACCAGGACUUUUACUUUGAAAAAAUUAGAGUGUUCAAAGCAGGCCUUUGCUCGAAUACGUUAGCAUGGAAUAAUAGAAUAGGACGUGCGGUCCUAUUUUGUUGGUUUCUAGGAUCGCCGUAAUGAUUAAUAGGGAUAGUCGGGGGCAUCAGUAUUCAAUUGUCAGAGGUGAAAUUCUUGGAUUUAUUGAAGACUAACUACUGCGAAAGCAUUUGCCAAGGAUGUUUUCAUUAAUCAGUGAACGAAAGUUGGGGGAUCGAAGACGAUCAGAUACCGUCGUAGUCUCAACCGUAAACUAUGCCGACUAGGGAUCGGGCGAUGUUUCUAUCUUGACUCGCUCGGCACCUUACGAGAAAUCAAAGUUUUUGGGUUCUGGGGGAGUAUGCAAGGCUUU